RNAcentral lists this unclassified non-coding RNA (247 nucleotides) under plant metagenome. RNAcentral's name for it is "partial contains small subunit ribosomal RNA, internal transcribed spacer 1, and 5.8S ribosomal RNA". The stretch from base 1 to 54 matches the Rfam family "Eukaryotic small subunit ribosomal RNA", at positions 1778 to 1831 of the family's 1831-position model. The record is from RNAcentral.
GGAAGUAAAAGUCAUAACAAGGUCUCCGUUGGUGAACCAGCGGAGGAAUCAUUACAGGACUCGCAAGACUCCUACAACCCUGUGAACUUAACUAUAAGCACGUUGCUUCGGCGGGUGUCUCGGAGGGGGUUCUCCCUCCCCGAGACGCUAAACCCGCCGGCAGCCUACUAUACUCUGUCUCUUUGCGUUGGCAUCUCGAGUACAAUCAAACAAGUUAAAACUUUCAACAACGGAUCUCUUGGUUCUG